RNAcentral lists this ribosomal RNA (550 nucleotides) under Protoblastenia rupestris. Its description in RNAcentral is "eukaryotic LSU rRNA". The stretch from base 200 to 353 matches the Rfam family "5.8S ribosomal RNA". The record is from RNAcentral. Lineage: Eukaryota; Fungi; Ascomycota; Lecanoromycetes; Lecanorales; Psoraceae.
AAGGAUCAUUACAGAGAGGGGCUUCGUGCUCCAGGGGGCUUCGGCCCCCGCCUCUAUACCCCGUGAUUAUUUUACCACAUUGUUGCUUUGGUGGGCCUUGGGGUCGUGCCCAUGCCGGUUCGCUGGCGAGCGCCCGCCAAAAGCCCCUUCCAAACCCUUUUUAAAUUAGUGAUGUCUGAGUGGAUUAUCAAUAAAUCAAAACUUUCAACAACGGAUCUCUUGGUUCUGGCAUCGAUGAAGAACGCAGCGAAAUGCGAUAAGUAAUGUGAAUUGCAGAAUUCAGUGAAUCAUCGAAUCUUUGAACGCACAUUGCGCCCCUCGGUAUCCCGGGGGGCAUGCCUGUUCGAGCGUCAUUGCACCUCUCAAGCGUAGCUUGGUAAUGGGUUUUCGCCCCCUGGGCGUGCCCGAAAGGUAGUGGCGGUCCGGUGUGACUUUGAGCGUAGUAAACUUCUCUCCCGCUUUGAAAGUUCCGUCCGUGGCCCGCCAGACAACCCUAAAAACCGUUUCAACGAUUGACCUCGGAUCAGGUAGGGAUACCCGCUGAACUUAA